Molecule: ribosomal RNA, 508 nt
Filed under: Macromia amphigena
Lineage: Eukaryota; Metazoa; Arthropoda; Insecta; Odonata; Macromiidae
Description: partial 16S ribosomal RNA
Rfam family: Bacterial large subunit ribosomal RNA
Source: RNAcentral
GGCCUCUUGAUUUAUUAAUAAGAGGUUUGACCUGCCCAGUGAAUAUUUAACGGCCGCGGUACUCUGACCGUGCAAAGGUAGCAUAAUCAUUAGUCUUUUAAAAGGAGGCUGGAAUGAAGGGUUUGACGAGGAAUUAACUGUCUCAUUUUUUUUUGGAUUUAAAAUUUAACUUUUUAGUCAAAAGGCUAAAAUUUUAUUGGUAGACGAGAAGACCCUAUAGAGCUUUAUAUUUAUUUGAUUAUUUGUAUUAUAUUAUUUAUUAUUAUUUUAGGUAAAUAUUUUGUUGGGGUGACAAAAAUAUAUAAUUAACUUUUUUAUUUUAAUUACAUUGAUUUAUGAAUAUGAGAUCCAUUAUUAUUGAUUGUUAGAUUAAGUUACCUUAGGGAUAACAGCGUAAUCCUCUUCCAGAGUUCAUAUUUACGGGAGGGCUUGCGACCUCGAUGUUGGAUUAAGAUAAUAUUUAGGUGUAGCCGCUUAAGUAAUAGGUCUGUUCGACCUUUAAAUUCUU